GCCCCCAAAAGAGCAACGGUCUUCGAUGGCCUCCGGAGCCGUGUGCGCAGGUUCGAAUCCUGCCGGGGGUA
This 71-nucleotide transfer RNA is filed under the name Streptomyces sp. F001. RNAcentral describes it as "tRNA-Arg". It matches the Rfam family "tRNA". Rfam says of the family: Transfer RNA (tRNA) molecules are approximately 80 nucleotides in length. Their secondary structure includes four short double-helical elements and three loops (D, anti-codon, and T loops). The record is from RNAcentral. Lineage: Bacteria; Bacillati; Actinomycetota; Actinomycetes; Kitasatosporales; Streptomycetaceae.